CUGCUGCCACGGACUGACUGCUCCAACCGCCGUGUCUUCCACCAUGAUGGACUGUGCUCUCUACCAUGAGCCCCGCCCGACAGACCUCCCUCCUGUUCCAACAGGAAACAAGACACUUGGAGUAGAGACAGGAUCUCGGCCCUUCCUAAAAUUCCCGAAGCCAGGAAGAAGCAACAAGAAUCCAAAGAGGCAAGAGUAGUGCCCACUGGGACACCCAGCUGGAUCUACUGAGGCAGGUCUCCUGGCUUCCGGCCAUCCCUUCAGUAGACACUGCUGUGGGGAAGGCAGAGGCAGACUACAAGUGACUCUCCACCCUCCACACCCCCCAUUCUGACCCAAACUCUAAACAAAGCCCUUUCUCUGUUUUAUGUAUUUUACAUUGAUAUCUCUUAAUGUGGCCGAAUGACUGGACCCAGGAGCAGGCCCUUUGGGCAGGAACUUAGGUAACAGAAUUUGUCAAACAUUGAGGGACAACACAACUACAGGGUUUUCACUCGCUCACUGACCCUGAACAAAAGGGGAGAACGGAAGUCGCCCCUGCAGCUUUGAAAUCUAGUUUGGUUUGGGGGCAUCCCUUCUUUCUGUGCCAACAUGGAUGGCCCUUUGCAGUGUGUGGUACCACAGGAAAAAGUAAGUGUUUUGAAAACUGUAAGCCCAAAGUCAGUUUCCUGAGUGUCUUCUCAGGGGUGGGCAUGUCAGGUCCCCUCUUGUGCGUGUGUCCUAGUGCAUGCACGCGUCUAUAUGUGUGCAUGCACACAUGUGUGUGUGUGUGUUGUGUGUGUAUGUGUGCCUGUGUGUGCAUGCAUGUGUACACGCCUGUGUGCAUAUGUGCAUGCACGCAUGUCUGUUUGUAUUUGAGGAUUCCUUUGAGGUAAAUUGGGGAUUAUUUAUUGGGUCAAUUUGGGGUUCCCUUUGAACUAUCUGAAAGGAAGUUUGGAUUGUUUACGGUCUGUGCUGUUCCCACCAAACUGAGUCAUCCAACAGGGACCCAGAGGGUUUAGAGAGCCCUGUGGUUGGCAUGAGAAGGAACUCCCUAGAGAAAUUAUGAUGAGCCCUGCAGCAUGCUGUGUGUCUGAGAGAGUACUCCUAUGUGACAGACUGACUGUGCCUCAGAAGUGUCUGGCUGCCGCAGCCACAGAAGUUUCUGACUUUUUGAACUUAAGCUUUUUUUCCCCCUGGUGAAUUCACCUUUUUAGGUCUGUGCACUCAGAUUUAUUUAUUUAUAAAUAUGAGAUGUACUUAGUGUAUCUUAUCUAUAUUGACAUGUAAUUUAUAUGUGUUUGUUUUUGGUUUUGGUGGUUGUAAGUUUUGGCUCCCUAUCUGGUUUUUAUUCUCUGCUAAAAUAAUCUGUUGUUCAGUCACUUGGUAACUGUUACUCAGCCAUUCCUGGCUAGAAUGAAAAUAUCCAAAGAAUUAACUCAGCCUGUUUGGGACUAGAAAAAAAGGUAAAAGUUGUGGAGUUUUGCUUUGUUUGUUUUAUUUUUAAGCCAAGUUAUUGUACAUAAAAUUUUACUAUGUUGCUUUGUCUUAUGACUGAAAUUUAAACUUAAGAAAAUCUCUGACAAAUGGGUUAAUUUAAAUUUGUUGGCAAAUAAAAGGAAUAUCUUAACACCUGCCAAAAAUAAAUUAAAUAUAAGAUGUGAUAGAUAUUCAUAUAUAUUAGAAGUAAAACCUCUGAGUCAUUUAUAAAUAUGUUAAAAUAGUAAAACAUCAUUUGUUAAGUAUGUACCCAAGUCUUUUGGUGUCUUAAAAAUCCAUGAGAUGAUAAUACAUUUAGGUCUACUGUGUUUCAUAGGCUAUCAAAACACAUUGUGACAUAAUAUCAAGAAACAGCUCUGAUCUUUGUAACAGUAAACAACUAUUCCAGAUUCCAGAGGAAUUAUGUAUCUCUCGAAAUAGAGGCUGUAUUUAAAGAUCACUUGCAUCCAAUAUAAGCUAGAGCAAUGCAGUUUAAAAAUAACUGUCAUGUUUGUUUGCCGUUCUUAACUACCCUAGCUUUAAUAAUUAUGCAAGGGCAACUCAUUUGCACUUAAGUUGUAAAAUACGACCGUCUAUUUUAGGUAGCAGUCGAUUUUAGAAAAAUUUCUUCCUGUUUUCAUGUAGAGGCCCACUAGUAAAGACUGCUUUAAACUAUUCUAAGGAGAAUUAAUAACUGAACUCAACUGGCCUCUUAAUGAAGCAGGUUCAUUUGUGUUCCCUGACAGCAAUAGACAAUAGGGCCCAGAGAGGAUUGCCAUAAGGGGCUCACCUCUCAGCAGCAGGUAGGUGGCUGCUGUUUUCCUGGGUAGUCUUUUCUUAGAUUAGAGACAAAGUCUCUAAAACAAUCAUCUUCAUAAUGUACAAAAAACUUGCAAAUUUCAAAAACAAAAAUCUUGAGCUUUUCA
Long non-coding RNA from Peromyscus californicus insignis, 2384 nucleotides. RefSeq lists it as uncharacterized. Lineage: Eukaryota; Metazoa; Chordata; Mammalia; Rodentia; Cricetidae. The transcript has 2 exons. The record is from RefSeq and is a predicted model, not a curated record.